This 234-nucleotide long non-coding RNA is filed under the name Marmota monax (woodchuck). The record is from RNAcentral. Lineage: Eukaryota; Metazoa; Chordata; Mammalia; Rodentia; Sciuridae.
CCGGCGGCGGUGGCGGCGGCUGGAGGUGCAGCCUCCCAGGUGGGAGGCGGGGGCUGCGGGCGCAGGAAAAGGCGCCUUGUGAGCGGGCGCUCAGCGGGGCCUCUUCGGGCUGGGCACCGCGCAGCGAGUGGGAGCGAGCGCGCCGGGAGCACGCAGGCGCUCUGCUCUGGCUGGCCCUCGGCCCGCGCGCGGCGCGGGAGCAGCCCGCCCCCCGCCCCCUGCGCCCCGCAGCCC